This is a non-coding RNA of Pelobates cultripes (western spadefoot toad), 206 nucleotides long. The record is from the annotation of a GenBank genome assembly. NCBI's taxonomy places the organism in Eukaryota, Metazoa, Chordata, Amphibia, Anura, Pelobatidae.
UAGACAUCAGCUUGUCGAUGAUCUUACCCAAGACCAUCGGUAUUAAAAGGAGAAUUGGUACUCCCUGCUCAAACAGCCUUAAUGUCAGUGGUAAUGGACCAUUUACCUAAAAUGAGGCAUAGGGCCAGCAUCACAAUAUUACGUUUUAACGCUAGCAGGUCUGAAAUCUAGAUCACUAACAUAACUAAACCUUGACAAAGUUAUGC